Molecule: transfer RNA, 65 nt
Filed under: Protaetia speciosa jousselini
Lineage: Eukaryota; Metazoa; Arthropoda; Insecta; Coleoptera; Scarabaeidae
Description: tRNA-Phe
Source: RNAcentral
ACUUAAAUAGCUUAUAUUUAGAGUAUGAUAUUGAAGAUAUCAGGGAAGUUUUUAACUUUUAAGUA